CGCAAGCUUGACCGAGCGACGCCGCGUGUGGGAUGAAGACCUUCGGGUUGUAAACCACUGUCGUAGGGGAGGAAAUUGAUCGGGGUUCUCCCCGGUCAUUGACCUAUCCUAGGAGGAAGGACGGGCUAAGUACGUGCCAGCAGCCGCGGUAAUACGUACCGUCCAAACGUUAUUCGGAAUUACUGGGCUUAAAGGGUACGUAGGCGGCGCUGUCAGUCGGGUGUGAAAGCCCUCGGCUCAACCGAGGAAUUGCGCCCGAUACUGCAGUGCUUGAGGGAGACAGAGGUAAGCGGAACUGAUGGUGGAGCGGUGAAAUGCGUUGAUAUCAUCAGGAACACCGGUGGCGAAAGCGGCUUACUGGGUCUCUUCUGACGCUGAGGUACGAAAGCUAGGGGAGCGAAGGGGAUUAGAUACCCCCGUAGUCCUAGCCGUAAACGUUGAGCACUUGAUCGAGGAUCCCCCCAUAGGUUCCCGGUCGUAGCGAAAGUGUUAAGUGCUCCGCCUGGGGAGUAUGGUCGCAAGGCUG
Molecule: ribosomal RNA, 526 nt
Filed under: uncultured Planctomycetota bacterium
Lineage: Bacteria; Pseudomonadati; Planctomycetota
Description: bacterial SSU rRNA
Rfam family: Bacterial small subunit ribosomal RNA
Source: RNAcentral